UCCGAGUUGACCCCGGCAGUCUCCGAUGAGUCCCCGGCAUAACCCGCUGGCAACAUCGGACAAGGGUUGCGCUCGUUGCGGGACUUAACCCAACAUCUCACGACACGAGCUGACGACAGCCAUGCACCACCUGUGACCGCCCCCGAAGGACACCACAUCUCUGCGGCUUUAACGGCCAUGUCAAACCCAGGUAAGGUGGGGAUGACGU
Molecule: unclassified non-coding RNA, 208 nt
Filed under: uncultured Actinomycetes bacterium
Lineage: Bacteria; Bacillati; Actinomycetota; Actinomycetes
Description: uncultured actinobacterium contains 16S-23S intergenic spacer region
Source: RNAcentral